AUGUCCUGAAUGGAAAGAUCCUUUUGGGAGCUUCUCAGGAGGGGGACCUGGGUCAAGGGCUUGACCAGCUUCUCCCUGGCAAUUCCAAGCCCCUGGGUGGGCUUC
Prolemur simus (greater bamboo lemur) is the source of this 105-nucleotide unclassified non-coding RNA. The record is from Ensembl. NCBI's taxonomy places the organism in Eukaryota, Metazoa, Chordata, Mammalia, Primates, Lemuridae.